AGAUUUUAAGUUAAAAAAACUAUAUGCCUUCAAAGCAUAAAUUAAACUUUGAAAUUUAAAUCUU
RNAcentral lists this transfer RNA (64 nucleotides) under Ixodes hirsti. Its description in RNAcentral is "tRNA-Trp". Lineage: Eukaryota; Metazoa; Arthropoda; Arachnida; Ixodida; Ixodidae. The record is from RNAcentral.